RNAcentral lists this ribosomal RNA (245 nucleotides) under uncultured Conexibacter sp. RNAcentral describes it as "partial 16S ribosomal RNA". It matches the Rfam family "Bacterial small subunit ribosomal RNA", at positions 524 to 768 of the family's 1533-position model. The record is from RNAcentral. Lineage: Bacteria; Bacillati; Actinomycetota; Thermoleophilia; Solirubrobacterales; Conexibacteraceae.
UACGUAGGGGGCUAGCGUUGUCCGGAAUCAUUGGGCGUAAAGAGCGUGUAGGCGGCUUGGUAAGUCCGCUGUGAAAGUCCAGGGCUCAACCCUGGAAUGCCAGUGGAAACUGUCAAGCUAGAGUCCGGAAGAGGCGAGUGGAACUCCUGGUGUAGCGGUGAAAUGCGCAGAUAUCAGGAAGAACACCAAUGGCGAAGGCAGCUCGCUGGGACGGUACUGACGCUGAGACGCGAAAGCGUGGGGAG